UUGAAUUGAAGAGUUUGAUCAUGGCUCAGAUUGAACGCUGGCGGCAGGCUUAACACAUGCAAGUCGAACGGUAGCAGGAAGAAAGCUUGCUUUCUUUGCUGACGAGUGGCGGACGGGUGAGUAAUGCUUGGGAAUCUGGCUUAUGGAGGGGGAUAACUGUGGGAAACUGCAGCUAAUACCGCGUAUUCUCUGAGGAGGAAAGGGGUGGGACCUUAGGGCCA
This 221-nucleotide ribosomal RNA is filed under the name Pasteurella multocida OH1905. RNAcentral's name for it is "partial 16S ribosomal RNA". It matches the Rfam family "Bacterial small subunit ribosomal RNA", at positions 1 to 217 of the family's 1533-position model. Lineage: Bacteria; Pseudomonadati; Pseudomonadota; Gammaproteobacteria; Pasteurellales; Pasteurellaceae. The record is from RNAcentral.